RNAcentral lists this ribosomal RNA (257 nucleotides) under uncultured prokaryote. RNAcentral's name for it is "partial 16S ribosomal RNA". It matches the Rfam family "Bacterial small subunit ribosomal RNA", at positions 524 to 780 of the family's 1533-position model. The record is from RNAcentral.
UACGGAGGAUCCGAGCGUUAUCCGGAAUUAUUGGGUUUAAAGGGUGCGUAGGCGGCCAUUUAAGUCAGCGGUGAAAUUUUGCAGCUUAACUGUAACAGUGCCGUUGAUACUGUUUGGCUAGGAUUUGGUUGCUGUGGGUGGAAUGUGUGGUGUAGUGGUGAAAUGCUUAGAGAUCACACAGAAUAUCGAUUGCGAAGGCAGCUCACAAAGCCAAGAUUGACGCUGAGGCACGAAAGUGUGGGGAUCAAACAGGAUUA